RNAcentral lists this ribosomal RNA (489 nucleotides) under uncultured bacterium. RNAcentral's name for it is "partial 16S ribosomal RNA". It matches the Rfam family "Bacterial small subunit ribosomal RNA", at positions 30 to 507 of the family's 1533-position model. The record is from RNAcentral.
UUGAACGCUGGCGGCAGGCCUAACACAUGCAAGUCGAACGGUAACAGAAAGCAGCUUGCUGCUUUGCUGACGAGUGGCGGACGGGUGAGUAAUGUCUGGGAAACUGCCUGAUGGAGGGGGAUAACUACUGGAAACGGUAGCUAAUACCGCAUAACGUCGCAAGACCAAAGAGGGGGACCUUCGGGCCUCUUGCCAUCGGAUGUGCCCAGAUGGGAUUAGCUAGUAGGUGGGGUAACGGCUCACCUAGGCGACGAUCCCUAGCUGGUCUGAGAGGAUGACCAGCCACACUGGAACUGAGACACGGUCCAGACUCCUACGGGAGGCAGCAGUGGGGAAUAUUGCACAAUGGGCGCAAGCCUGAUGCAGCCAUGCCGCGUGUAUGAAGAAGGCCUUCGGGUUGUAAAGUACUUUCAGCGGGGAGGAAGGGAGUAAAGUUAAUACCUUGGCUCAUUGACGUUACCCGCAGAAGAAGCACCGGCUAACUCCGUG